GCAGUGGUGGUUCAGUGGUAGAAUUCUCACCUCUCACCUUCCACGGGGAGACCCAGGUUCAAUUCCUGGCUGGUGCA
This 77-nucleotide transfer RNA is filed under the name Loxodonta africana (African savanna elephant). It matches the Rfam family "tRNA". From Rfam's summary of the family: Transfer RNA (tRNA) molecules are approximately 80 nucleotides in length. Their secondary structure includes four short double-helical elements and three loops (D, anti-codon, and T loops). The record is from Rfam by way of RNAcentral. Lineage: Eukaryota; Metazoa; Chordata; Mammalia; Proboscidea; Elephantidae.